This 490-nucleotide ribosomal RNA is filed under the name uncultured bacterium. Its description in RNAcentral is "partial 16S ribosomal RNA". It matches the Rfam family "Bacterial small subunit ribosomal RNA", at positions 28 to 507 of the family's 1533-position model. The record is from RNAcentral.
GAUGAACGCUAGCUACAGGCUUAACACAUGCAAGUCGAGGGGAAACGAUGAGAGAGCUUGCUCUCUUAGGCGUCGACCGGCGCACGGGUGAGUAACGCGUAUCCAACCUACCCCUUACAGGGGGAUAACCUUGCGAAAGUAAGACUAAUACCCCAUGGCAUUUUAUGGUGGCAUCAUUAUAGGAUUAAAGAUUUAUUGGUAAUGGAUGGGGAUGCGUCUGAUUAGCUUGUUGGCGGGGUAACGGCCCACCAAGGCAACGAUCAGUAGGGGUUCUGAGAGGAAGGUCCCCCACAUUGGAACUGAGACACGGUCCAAACUCCUACGGGAGGCAGCAGUGAGGAAUAUUGGUCAAUGGGCGAGAGCUUGAACCAGCCAAGUAGCGUGCAGGAUGACGGCCCUAUGGGUUGUAAACUGCUUUUAUAGGGGAAUAAAGUGAGCUACGUGUAGUUUAUUGCAUGUACCCGAUGAAUAAGGACCGGCUAAUUCCGUG